Molecule: ribosomal RNA, 253 nt
Filed under: uncultured bacterium
Lineage: Bacteria
Description: partial 16S ribosomal RNA
Rfam family: Bacterial small subunit ribosomal RNA
Source: RNAcentral
UACGUAGGUGGCGAGCGUUGUCCGGAUUUACUGGGCGUAAAGAGCGCGCAGGCGGUCGUUCAAGUCGCGUGUGAAAGCCCCCGGCUCAACUGGGGAGGGUCACGCGAUACUGAUCGACUCGAAGGCAGGAGAGGGAAGUGGAAUUCCCGGUGUAGUGGUGAAAUGCGUAGAGAUCCGGAGGAACACCAGCGGCGAAGGCGGCGUCCUGGACUGGUACUGACGCUCAGGAGCGAAAGCGUGGGGAGCGAUCCGG